GUGGGGAAUCUUAGACAAUGGGGGAAACCCUGAUCUAGCCAUGCCGCGUGAUCGAUGAAGGCCUUAGGGUUGUAAAGAUCUUUCAGGUGGGAAGAUAAUGACUGUACCACCAGAAGAAGCCCCGGCUAACUCCGUGCCAGCAGCCGCGGUAAUACGGAGGGGGCUAGCGUUGUUCGGAAUUACUGGGCGUAAAGCGCACGUAGGCGGAUUGGAAAGUUGGGGGUGAAAUCCCGGGGCUCAACCCCGGAACUGCCUUCAAAACUCCCAGUCUUGAGUUCGAGAGAGGUGAGUGGAAUUCCGAGUGUAGAGGUGAAAUUCGUAGAUAUUCGGAGGAACACCAGUGGCGAAGGCGGCGCACUGGCUCGAUACUGACGCUGAGGUGCGAAAGCGUGGGGAGCAAACAGGAUUAGAAACCCGGGUAGUCC
This 425-nucleotide ribosomal RNA is filed under the name uncultured bacterium. RNAcentral's name for it is "partial 16S ribosomal RNA". It matches the Rfam family "Bacterial small subunit ribosomal RNA", at positions 354 to 796 of the family's 1533-position model. The record is from RNAcentral.